CCUCUAGCCGCGGUGUUUGUGACGGCUGCUCGGGGGUGUGCGGGCCUCCGCCUGGGCGUCAGCGCCGGAAUCGCCGUGAGGGGCCCCGAGAAAGGCUAUAGAGGGGUCAGAGAGCAUGGUUCUGCACAGUUAGAAGAACAAGUUUUCCCCUUCCUCCUUAUGCUGGAGCUCUUGAAAAGUCCAAGUCAUGUGAUGUUUACUGAGCAGUCAUGUAAAACACAAGAUUCUAGGGAGGAGAAUGAGAAUGAAGAUCAGGAAAGAAGAAAAUUAGUGAAGGCCUUUCAUAGACUGAAGAGGACAAUGUGGUAAUAAUGGAACCUUCUGAAAGUCUAAUGUAGAAGAUUGUCUGGUAGAAGAUUGUCUAUGGAAGAAGUUACCUCAACUCUACUAGAGGGAACUGAUACCUCAUCUGUAAAAAGGGGAAAGCACCAAGGUAUUGGAUGGAAUAAAUAAGAAUGUGG
Molecule: long non-coding RNA, 461 nt
Organism: Talpa occidentalis (Iberian mole)
Lineage: Eukaryota; Metazoa; Chordata; Mammalia; Eulipotyphla; Talpidae
Exons: 4
Source: RefSeq, a predicted model, not a curated record